RNAcentral lists this non-coding RNA (30 nucleotides) under Mus musculus (house mouse). Lineage: Eukaryota; Metazoa; Chordata; Mammalia; Rodentia; Muridae. The record is from RNAcentral.
GUGUCUCAUUUAAAGUCUUAAUAACAGGCA